UGAGGAAUAUUGGUCAAUGGGCGCGAGCCUGAACCAGCCAAGUAGCGUGAAGGAUGAAGGUCCUAUGGAUUGUAAACUUCUUUUAUACGGGAAUAAAGUGGUCCACGUGUGGACUUUUGCAUGUACCGUAUGAAUAAGCAUCGGCUAACUCCGUGCCAGCAGCCGCGGUAAUACGGAGGAUGCGAGCGUUAUCCGGAUUUAUUGGGUUUAAAGGGAGCGCAGACGGGGGAUUAAGUCAGUUGUGAAAGUUUGCGGCUCAACCGUAAAAUUGCAGUUGAUACUGGUUCCCUUGAGUGCAGUUGAGGCAGGCGGAAUUCGUGGUGUAGCGGUGAAAUGCAUAGAUAUCACGAAGAACUCCGAUUGCGAAGGCAGCUUACUGGACUGUAACUGACGCUGAUGCUCGAAAGUGUGGGUAUCAAACAGGAUUAGAUACCCUGGUAGUCCACACAGUAAACGAUGAAUACUCGCUGUUGGCGAUACACAGUCAGCGGCCAAGCGAAAGCAUUAAGUAUUCCACCUGGGGAGUACGCCGGCAACGGUGAAACUCAAAGGAAUUGACGGGGGCCCGCACAAGCGGAGGAACAUGUAGUUUAAUUCGAUGAUACGCGAGGAACCUUACCCGGGCUUAAAUUGCAGCGGAAUGUAGUGGAAACAUUACAGCCUUCGGGCCGCUGUGAAGGUGCUGCAUGGUUGUCGUCAGCUCGUGCCGUGAGGUGUCGGCUUAAGUGCCAUAACGAGCGCAACCCUUAUCUAUAGUUACUAUCAGGUCAUGCUGAGGACUCUAUGGAGACUGCCGUCGUAAGAUGCGAGGAAGGUGGGGAUGACGUCAAAUCAGCACGGCCCUUACGUCCGGGGCUACACACGUGUUACAAUGGGGGGUACAGAAGGCAGCUACCUGGCGACAGGAUGCUAAUCCCUAAAACCUCUCUCAGUUCGGAUUGGAGUCUGCAACCCGACUCCAUGAAGCUGGAUUCGCUAGUAAUCGCGCAUCAGCCACGGCGCGGUGAAUACGUUCCC
This 1017-nucleotide ribosomal RNA is filed under the name uncultured bacterium. RNAcentral describes it as "bacterial SSU rRNA". It matches the Rfam family "Bacterial small subunit ribosomal RNA", at positions 355 to 1375 of the family's 1533-position model. The record is from RNAcentral.